Molecule: ribosomal RNA, 537 nt
Filed under: uncultured bacterium
Lineage: Bacteria
Description: bacterial SSU rRNA
Rfam family: Bacterial small subunit ribosomal RNA
Source: RNAcentral
AGCUAAUAGAUACCCUGGUAGUCCACGCCCUAAGCGAUGUCUACUAGUUGUUGGUGGAGUAAAAAUCCAUGAGUAAACGCAGCUAACGCGUGAAGUAGACCGCCUGGGGAGUACGGUCGCAAGAUUAAAACUCAAAGGAAUUGACGGAGGCCCGCACAAGCGGUGGAUUAUGUGGAUUAAUUCGAUGCAACGCGAAAAACCUUACCUGGCCUUGACAUGCCACUAACGAAGCAGAGAUGCAUUAGGUGCCCGUAAGGGAAAGUGGACACAGGUGCUGCAUGGCUGUCGUCAGCUCGUGUCGUGAGAUGUUGGGUUAAGUCCCGCAACGAGCGCAACCCUUGCCAUUAAUUGCCAUCAUUUAGUUGGGCACUUUAAAUGGGACUGCCGGUGACAAACCGGAGGAAGGUGGGGAUGACGUCAAGUCCUCAUGGCCCUUAUGGCCAGGGCUUCACACGUAAUACAAUGGUCGGUACAGAGAGUUGCCAACCCGCGAGGGGGAGCUAACCUCAGAAAGCCGAUCGUAGUCCGGAUUGUUCU